This 189-nucleotide ribosomal RNA is filed under the name uncultured bacterium. RNAcentral describes it as "partial 16S ribosomal RNA". It matches the Rfam family "Bacterial small subunit ribosomal RNA", at positions 338 to 524 of the family's 1533-position model. The record is from RNAcentral.
CCUACGGGAGGCAGCAGUGAGGAAUAUUGGGCAAUGCCCGCAAGGGUGACCCAGCAACGCCGCGUGGAGGAUGAAGGCCGUAAGGUUGUAAACUCCUGUUAGAGGAGAAGAAUAGUACCGAUUGGAUCGGUAUUUGACUGUACCCCCAGAGAAAGCCCCGGCUAACUACGUGCCAGCAGCCGCGGUAAU